RNAcentral lists this ribosomal RNA (506 nucleotides) under uncultured Pseudotaeniolina. RNAcentral's name for it is "eukaryotic LSU rRNA". The stretch from base 159 to 312 matches the Rfam family "5.8S ribosomal RNA". The record is from RNAcentral. Lineage: Eukaryota; Fungi; Ascomycota.
AGGGAUCAUUACCGAGUGAAGGGCCUCCGGGCCCGACCUCCAACCCUUUGUAUUCCGACUCUGUUGCCUCGGGGGCGACCCGGCCUUCGGGCGCGGGCCCCCCGGCGGUCCACUCAACUCUGCAUCUUUGCGUCUGAGUAAAUAUUUGAAUCAAUCAAAACUUUCAACAACGGAUCUCUUGGUUCUGGCAUCGAUGAAGAACGCAGCGAAAUGCGAUAAGUAAUGUGAAUUGCAGAAUUCAGUGAAUCAUCGAAUCUUUGAACGCACAUUGCGCCCUUUGGCAUUCCGAAGGGCAUGCCUGUUCGAGCGUCAUUACACCACUCAAGCCUCGCUUGGUAUUGGGCGCCGCGGUCCGCCGCGCGCCUCAAUGUCUCCGGCUGAGCCGUCCGUCUCUAAGCGUUGUGAAUCAAUCAAUCCGCUUGCGAGGCCGGGCUGGCUGCGCGCCGUUAAAAGCCCCAUUCUUCUAGGUUGACCUCGGAUCAGGUAGGGAUACCCGCUGAACUUAA